This 473-nucleotide ribosomal RNA is filed under the name Sibon annulatus. RNAcentral describes it as "LSU rRNA". It matches the Rfam family "Bacterial large subunit ribosomal RNA", at positions 1911 to 2603 of the family's 2925-position model. The record is from RNAcentral. Lineage: Eukaryota; Metazoa; Chordata; Lepidosauria; Squamata; Dipsadidae.
AGUGAACAAUUAAACGGCCGCGGUACCCUAACCGUGCAAAGGUAGCAUAAUCAUUUGUCUAUUAAUUGUAGACCAGUAUGAAUGGCAAAAUGCGGGCCUAUCUGUCUCUUACAAUAAGUCAAUUAAACUGAUCUUCUAGUAAAAAAGCUAGAAUCCACACACAAGACCAGAAGACCCUGUGAAGCUUAAACUAAACUAUUAAACCCUAUAAUAUCUACUUUGGGUUGGGGCGACCUUGGAAAAAAAAAGAACUUCCAAACAUAUGACCACACUCAUUCAUCAGGCCCACAAGCCUAAUAAAAGACCCAGUACAGCUGAUAAUUGAACCAAGUUACUCCAGGGAUAACAGCGCCAUCUUCUUCAAGAGUCCAUAUCAAAAAGAAGGUUUACGACCUCGAUGUUGGAUCAGGACAUCCUAAUGGUGCAGUCGCUAUUAAGGGUUCGUUUGUUCAACGAUUAAUAGUCCUACGUGA